RNAcentral lists this ribosomal RNA (535 nucleotides) under Fusarium flocciferum. Its description in RNAcentral is "eukaryotic LSU rRNA". It matches the Rfam family "Eukaryotic large subunit ribosomal RNA", at positions 66 to 624 of the family's 3401-position model. The record is from RNAcentral. Lineage: Eukaryota; Fungi; Ascomycota; Sordariomycetes; Hypocreales; Nectriaceae.
CAACAGGGAUUGCCCUAGUAACGGCGAGUGAAGCGGCAACAGCUCAAAUUUGAAAUCUGGCUUUCGGGCCCGAGUUGUAAUUUGUAGAGGAUGAUUUUGAUGCGGUGCCUUCCGAGUUCCCUGGAACGGGACGCCAUAGAGGGUGAGAGCCCCGUCUGGUUGGAUGCCAAAUCUCUGUAAAUCUCCUUCGACGAGUCGAGUAGUUUGGGAAUGCUGCUCUAAAUGGGAGGUAUAUGUCUUCUAAAGCUAAAUACCGGCCAGAGACCGAUAGCGCACAAGUAGAGUGAUCGAAAGAUGAAAAGCACUUUGAAAAGAGAGUUAAAAAGUACGUGAAAUUGUUGAAAGGGAAGCGUUUAUGACCAGACUUGGGCUUGGUUAAUCAUCUGGGGUUCUCUCCAGUGCACUUUUCCAGUCCAGGCCAGCAUCAGUUUUCGCCGGGGGAUAAAGGCUUCGGGAAUGUGGCUCCCCUCGGGGAGUGUUAUAGCCCGUUGUGUAAUACCCUGGCGGGGACUGAGGUUCGCGCUUCUGCAAGGAU